AAGACCUUGUGCUUUUGGAGCGGCCGACGCCUGAUUAGCUAGUUGGUAGGGUAAAGGCCUACCAAGGCUACGAUCAGUAGUUGGUCUGAGAGGACGACCAGCCACACUGGGACUGAGACACGGCCCAGACUCCUACGGGAGGCAGCAGUGGGGAAUUUUGGACAAUGGGCGAAAGCCUGAUCCAGCAAUGCCGCGUGAGUGAAGAAGGCCUUCGGGUUGUAAGCUCUUUCAGUCGAGAAGAAAAAGUUGUGACUAAUAAUCACAAUUUAUGACGGUACCGACAGAAGAAGCACCGGCUAACUACGUGCCAGCAGCCGCGGUAAUACGUAGGGUGCAAGCGUUAAUCGGAAUUACUGGGCGUAAAGGGUGCGCAGGCGGCUCUGUAAGUCAGAUGUGAAAUCCCCGGGCUUAACCUGGGAAUU
RNAcentral lists this ribosomal RNA (422 nucleotides) under uncultured bacterium. Its description in RNAcentral is "bacterial SSU rRNA". It matches the Rfam family "Bacterial small subunit ribosomal RNA", at positions 202 to 622 of the family's 1533-position model. The record is from RNAcentral.